Molecule: long non-coding RNA, 6445 nt
Organism: Oncorhynchus tshawytscha (Chinook salmon)
Lineage: Eukaryota; Metazoa; Chordata; Actinopteri; Salmoniformes; Salmonidae
Source: Ensembl
CAUUGUCAAAGUAUAUAUAUCGGAAAAAAAAGAAGAAAAAAAAUGUAUAUUUAUAUAUAAAAUAUAUAUAUAUAUAUUGUAUAUAAAUAAAUGGUGGGACCAACAGCAAUAAUAACAGUUGUAGUGGACAUGCGAUUACCAUUAACAACAACAACAAUAUUAAUGAGAACAACAAUACAUUAAAGCAAUGGUAGUGGACCAGUGUCAACAUGACUGAGAAGACACAUGACGUUGUAUGAAAGACAAAACAAAACAAGAUGGGAAAUAUUAUCAACAUUACUUUGCACUUUUCACUGGUUGUCCCUUAGGUUGUGGCAGGAGGACACAUAUUUGGCUGCCAAAACUGCACAUUUGGGCUUUUCGCCCAAUAAAUAUUGGAUUUUUUCUUAAUCUUUUAUAGUUUCAAAUUCUUUGUAUUGAAUUAUAAUUUGGGGAAAUAAAUAUUCUCUUAGGUCUGAGUAUUUGUCACAGUGUAAUAGGAAAUGCAGCUCGGUCUCUACCUCUCCCCUGGAGCAGAGUGAGCACAGCCUGUCCUCUCUGGGCAGCCAGGUUUGUCUGUGACAACCGGUCUCUAUACCCAGACUGUGCUCACUGAGUCUGUACCUAGUCAAUGUUUUCCUCCGUUUUCUAUCAGUCACUGUGGUCAGAUAGUCUGCCUCCCGUACUGUCUGUUUAGAGCCAAAUAGCAUUGAAGUUUACUUUGAUUUUUUUGUGGUGUCUUUCCAAUAGGUGAUGACAUAUUUUUAUUUUAGUUUUGUGAUGAUUUGGUUGGGCCAGAUUUUCUGAGUGCAGUCCUGAGGCUCUAUGGGGUUGGUUUGGGUUGGUGAACUGAGCCUCAGAACCAGCUGGCUGAGGGGACUCUUCUCUUUUUUCAUCUCUUGGCAUUGUAGAGCUGUGUGAUGGAAUGUUUUUAGGUGGUUGUAAAAUUUGAUGGCUCUUUUUUCUAUUCGAAUGAGGGGGUAUUGGCCCAAUUCUGCUCUUUGUGCGUUAUUUGGAGUUUUUCUUUGCACUUGCAAUACAGUCUUGCAAAACUCUGCAUGCGGUAUUUCGAUUGGAUAUUUGUCCCAUUUGGUAAAUUCAUUAUUAGAGAUUGGACCCCAUACCUCACUGCCGUAGAGCAAUUGGUUCUAUAACUGAUUGAAAAAGUUUGAGCCAGAUUCUAAUUGGAAUUUCUAUUUUGAUGUUCCUUUUAAAUGCAUAUAAUGCUCUUCUUGCUUUGUCUCUCAGCUCAUUCACCGCCAUGUGAAAGCUACCUGUGUUUCUGAUAUUUAGUCCUAGAUAUGUGUAGCUUUUGGUGUGUUCUAAUAGAACUGAGUCCAAAUAGAAUUUAUAUUUGUCAUCCUUAUUUCCAGACCUUUUUAGGAAUAUCAUUAUAUUUGUUUGUUUUUUAGGUUUAACGGUCAGAGUCCAGGUCUGACAGAACCUGUGAAGAUGAUCUAGGUGCUGCUGUAACCCCUCUUUAGUGGGAGACAGCAGCACCAGGUCAUCUGCGUAUAGCAGACUGUCAGGAUUUGGCAAGGAUUGUUCCGGUUUUGGCCACUAGAUGCCCCCAUUGUGCUUUUUUGACCUUUUUGUUUUCCCCUGUUUCCAGAUUAUUAUUUGCACCUGUGCCUCGUUUCCCUCCCUUUCCCGAGUUCGUAACCGGGUCCUGACAGCAGACACUUGAUUUUAGUGUUGUGUAGGGUGAUACCAGGUGCUGCCGAUUUCUUCUAAUGUUUUUGCCCCAAUUCAUUAAUGUAGAUGUUAAAUAGUGUUGGACUUAUUGGGCAGCCCUGUUUCACUCCCCGUCCCUGGGAAAAGAAGUCGGUUUGCUUGUUGCCAAUUUUAACCGCACAUUUGUUUUUAGUGUACAUUGAUUUAAUAAAAUUGUUUUCCCUCCAAUACCACUUUCUAUUAGUUUAUAAAAAAGACCUUUGUGCCAAAUUGAAUCAAAUGCUUUCUUGAAAUCUACAAAACAUGAGUAGAUUUUGCCUUUGUUUUGGUUUGCUUGUUUAUCUAUUAGAGUGUGGAGGGUGUAAAUGUGGUCUUUUGUACGAUUUUUAUUUUUUUAGAAAUCCAAUCUGGCUUCUGCUCAGGACGUUGUGUUCGUCAAGGAAAUUAUGUAGUCUGCUAUUUAGAAUUUUCCCCAAGUUGCUGUUAAUUCAAAUUCCUCUGUAAUUAUUUGGGUCAAAUUUGUCUCCAUUUUUAUAGAUUGGUGUGAUCAAUCCCUGGUUCCAAAUAUCGGGGAAAAUACCUGCAGUGAGGAUAAUGUUGAAGAGUUUGAGUAUAGCCAAUUUGAAUUUGUGGUCUGUAUAUUUGAUCAUUUCAUUUAAAAUACCAUCAGCACCACAGGCCUUUUUGGGUUGUAGAGUGCAUAGUUUUCCCAAUAAUUAUUCUUCUGUAAUUGGGGUAUCCACAGGAUUCUGAUAGUCUUUGACUGCUGAUUCAAGGAUUUGUAAUUUUUCUUGUAUAUCUUUUUGUUCUGGGCUUUGUUAUAUUGCUGUAGAGGUUUGCAAAGUGAUUUCUCCACAUAUCCCCAUUUUGGAUAGCCAAUUCCUCAUGAGGUUUGUUUAAUUUAUUCAAAUUCUCCCAGAAGUGAUUUGAUUCUAUGGAUUCCUCAAUUCCAUCCAUCUGAUUUCUAAUGUGCUGUUCCAUUUUUGUUCUCAGGGUGUGUUUGUUUUGCUUCAGUGUUUCCCCAUAUUGAAGGCAUAUAUUUUUGUUGUCUGGUUCUCUGUGUUUUUGAUUAGAUAUCUCAAUGACUUUCUUAUAUUUUUGAAAUCAUUAUCAAACCAUUUUUCAUUAUCUGUUAUUUCUGGUUUGCUCUUAUGCUUCUUUAAAUUAGCCAAGGAGGCUAAUUUGUCAAAUAUAUAGUUUAUGUUCUAAACAGCCAAAUGUACACCUUCAUUGCUGUAGGAGAAUGUUAAGGCUAAAAAGUUGUGCAGGAGAGAUUGUAUUUUUUGGCUACUAAUUGCUUUUUGGUAGAUGUCUGUACUGUAAUUUAUUGGGCUGUGAUGCUUCAUGGUUGGGUUCUGCUCUUCUUAGAUACAUUGUGAUUUUACUGUGGUCUGAGAGAGGUGUUAGUGGGCUGACUGUGAAGGCUCUGCGAGACUCUGGGUUUAGGUCGAUGAGGAAGUAGUCUGUUUGAUUCCUUUUAAUGUAGUGGAUGGUAUGAUUAUCUCCCUAUAACAUAGUGGACAGCCAGUGGAAACAUCACCUCUGCACCAUGUUUCCUGUAGUACUACAAUGUCAACAUCAUCAAUUUCUUUCAGGAAGUCUGGGUUUCUGCUCUUUAGUCCAAAAGCAGAGGACUUCAACCCUUGUAAAUUCCAACAUGCAAACGUAAAAAGAUUUCAUAACUUUUUAUUUUUCUUUACCUUCAAAAAUGAGACAAACACUCACAAUCCAACAAGAACUAUUAAAAUAAGAUUUUUCAAUUAAAGUUAACUCUUAUUAUGCAAAUGUGAUUUGUUUAUCAUUUAAGAUAGAAUUUGUGUCAUGCCACUUGGGUGGGUGUAGUGUGAGGAUGGUGGAGUUCUUGUGCUCAUCUUACCAUGACCCUCGGCCUAUCACAUGUGAGCAUAGUAGACUCAGCAUUUGUUUAAAUGUCACUAAUUUGGUUGGUGGGGGCUGGGCCAGUUGCUCCUCUCACAGCCUGUGCCUGCUGGGCUGUGGCUCCUCCAAGUGUGGGUCUGCGGUGGGGGGUAGGGGGGUGGGAGGCCUCGUCUGGGUGGCUCUGAAACUGGGCUGGGGUGGUCUGUGCUGCGCUGGAUGUGGUAGGCAUUGAGGUUGGUGGUGCUGUGGUCGUGGCUGGGAGUUCCAGGGUGCUGGUCCAGGGUAUUGUCCCGGUGAUCUUUUUCGGGGUGGAGAUUGUUCUGCUGUUCCUGGGUGGAGAGGUCGGACUGCGGUUUAAAGCGACGUCCUUGAGAGUCUUGGCAAGGAUGGGGACUGUCUCCCUGUACAGGUGAACAUGGUCAUAGAGACAGUCCAGAUCGAUGGUGGGCCAGGUGUACAUUGGGUCGCAGGGCACAGUCCCUAUCUUUCUGUAGUCUCUCCAGAUGGAUCAACACCCUCGCUAUCUUUCUGUAGUCUCUCCAGAUGGAUCAACACCCUCCCUAUCUUUCUGUAGUCUCCCACUCCCUUCUGACCCGACUCAUCCUCUUGAUCAUCCCCCAUACAUCUCCCACAGGUGUCGCCCUUCCAAUGGUGUUACAGAACCAACAUGACCUAUUCGCCUGACGGAUAGUUCUCCUCACCAGGGCCUGCUGAUACUGAAUCAGACUGAGGGAUAGUUCUCCUCACCAGGGCCUGCUGAUACUGAAUCAGACUGAGGGAUAGUUCUCCUCACCAGGGCCUGGGUCUGCUGAUACUGAAUCAGACUGAGGGAUAGUUCUCCUCACCAGGGCCUGCUGAUACUGAAUCAGACUGAGGGAUAGUUCUCCUCACCAGGGCCUGCUGAUACUGAAUCAGACUGAGGGAUAGUUCUCCUCACCAGGGCCUGCUGAUACUGAAUCAGAUGUUGGAAGUUAUACGUCCUUUUCAGUACUCUAAAUGUCUUGUUUCUAUUCCUCACAACUGCCCCACACUCCUUCGUCCACCACGGGACUGCUUUCCUCCUCCUCCCUGAACUCUUAGGUAUCGCCUCAGUAGCUGCCCCCACUAACGCUGUUCUCACCCAGUUAUUCAUACUGUCCACAUCCCCUCUCAUAUCCACCCGAGCCAUCACCUGCUCACUCAGCUCCUGAAACUGAUCCCACUUUGCCCUUCCAAACACCCACCUGCCUACUCCAUCUACUGGAACCUCCUCCCUCCGACCUACUGUGCAUAGUAGUGAUCACUCCCUACUCCUCCCUUACCUCCCACUCACAGAUUCCUGCCAUCACACUAGAUACCAGAGUGAGGUCCAAGGCAGACUCUCUCCCUGUGGCCCUCCACCCUCUCCAGCACUUCCAGGUCUAAUAUCUGACACGCAUUAUAGUAGUUUACUAGCACCCCUCCUCUACUACAUAUUCCUGUUCAAUACCUCUGCCUAGCAUCCUAUAAGAAAGUCCUUGCUUUAUGAAAGUGGCACCCCCCAUCCCUGUCCCUCGUCCCUACGAGCCAUGUUUCCUGCACACAAAUCACAUCAGGCUAAGGAGCCUUAUUGCUAUUAUAAACUGGUUACCAAUGUAAUCAGAGCAGUAAAACUAAAUGUUUUGUCAGACCAGUGGUAUACAGUCUGAUAUACUAUGGCCUUCAGCCAAUCAGAAUUCAGGGCUCAAACCACCCAGUUUAUAUUAACUCAUGUAUCCUAUGGUUACUUUAUUUGGCAGUACCCGGUCCUUGAAGUGUAACAGAAUAAACGGGCCAUCUACCCUAACUCCACCCCUUGUUUCUUGCUAUAUUUGAUCAUUUACUAGAAUAACUAAUCUCAAGUUGUCCCUUACCUCUUUAGUGCCAACACUCACAGGCACUCCUGUUAUCACCCCUUUAACCCACAGUUUUCCUGCAUGAUCAGUCCAGCUACUCGACACCACCUUACACUUCCCUAUUUGCUUCACUCAAGAGCUUUUUCCCCUCUGCGCAUUGUCCUUACAGAACACCAACAAGCUCCCAUCUAGUAACACUUUAGCGUUGACAAUUUCCCCAAUCAACUACUUUAUCACAGCGGUCAACCUUAUCGGACUCGUCGCCCCAACUCCCCCUUCCUCCCUUAAAGUUCAUAAUCACUUUAUGCUCCUCCUCACCUCGCGAUGCAUCUUGCCCUUCCUCUGCACUCUCGACCCCCGAACUGCCGCUGGAAACUGUUGCUCUCUUCAAACGUCCUUUGCUGCCUCCAUACCUCUCUCUCCCCUUCAAACCCCUACUCACAUUCUCUCCCCCUUUAUUUGUACCACCAUGCCCCACACUUUGUUCUCCAUCGCCUAACAUCCCCGACCCAGUCACAGCGCAGCCGUGCCGAAGCGAGUCACGUUGUUUAUCAGCGACGGAUCGCUAGCCACCGCUUUCAGCCUCUCCCUCACCUCUGUUACACCAUGCCACGGGCUCCCCGGAAAUGUACGCUGAAAAACCCCACAUACAUCUCAUAAAGUUAAUGCACAUCUUUUUAAAUUGAUGAUAUAUUCAGAUCGAAUUGUUCUCAGGAAAUGUCCUUCCCUACUAUGGGUCAUAUUAGUGGGCUAUCACGGUGUAAAAGCACCUUUUAAAAUCCAUUGCAUUAGCUUUAUAAAUCACAGUAAAAAAUAACGCGAAUACGUACCUUUGGCGAAGGGAAAGGACGCCAGAUCUUCUAGUUUUAGUUACUGCACAAUAAAAAUGGUCUUUACCGCCGCCAACGUAAACGGGGUGUAAUAACAGUUGUGGUUGACGCUGCUCGGAAAUGAUGACAUAAAACGAUGAUUGGAACCUUCUGACCAACGAGUCGCACCGCCCCACUGUCUGAUUCACAUCGCGUGAUUUAUGAUGUCCAUUAUAUCGACUGAUUGGUUCU